AAAUUUUAUUUUGGCCAGGAGCUGAAGUUGGUUGUUUAGUAGUAGUAGUUUGAGUAGUGACCGAAGUAGUAGUCUGGUGCAAGAGUAGUUGGGGAAGAAUUAGGUGUGGUAAUUGGGGCAGCUGUGGUCUCUUGUGGAGCUGGGGAAGACGGUGGAGCUGGUGUAGUUGCAGAAGGUGUGGGUGGGGCAGCUGUGGUCUCUGGUGGAGCUGAGGAAGAUGGUGGAGCUGGUGUAGUUGCAGAAGGUGUGGGUGGGGCAGCUGUGGUGUCUUGUGGAGCUGGGGAAUUCACUGAUGGAAUUUGGGUUGUAGCCACUAAGGUAGGGUUGACCACACUGCUAUUUUUAUCUGGAUGUUUAGGUGGCUGGUGAGGAUUUGGGAAUUUGGGGGGGUUAUUAGGUGAAGGUG
This 406-nucleotide long non-coding RNA is filed under the name Homo sapiens (human). Its description in RNAcentral is "HSALNT0320085". Lineage: Eukaryota; Metazoa; Chordata; Mammalia; Primates; Hominidae. The record is from RNAcentral.